AGCAGCCGCGGUAAUUCCAGCUCCAAUAGCGUAUAUUAAAGUUGUUGCAGUUAAAAGCUCGUAGUUGAAUUUCGGGAUUGGCGCAUCGGUCGUGCCUCACGGGGUAUGAACUGGUGCAGUCAAUUUCUCACCUUCUGGAGAACCGCGAUGUCCUUAAUUGGAUGCCGCGGGGAACCAGGACCUUUACUUUGAAAAAAUUAGAGUGUUUAAAGCAGGCAUUUUUGCUUGAAUACAUUAGCAUGGAAUAAUAAAAUAGGACGGCAUGGUUCUAUUUUGUUGGUUUCUAGGACCACCGUAAUGAUUAAUAGGGAUAGUUGGGGGCAUUAGUAUUCAAUUGUCAGAGGUGAAAUUCUUGGAUUUAUUGAAGACUAACUACUGCGAAAGCAUUUUGCCAAGGAUGUCUUCAUUAAUCAAGAACGAAAGUUAAGGGAUCGAAGACGAUCAGAUACCGUCGUAGUCUUAACCAUAAACUAUGCCGACUAGGAAUCAGACGAUGUUAAUUUUUUAAUGACUCGUUUGG
This 520-nucleotide unclassified non-coding RNA is filed under the name uncultured Entrophospora. Its description in RNAcentral is "SSU rRNA". It matches the Rfam family "Eukaryotic small subunit ribosomal RNA", at positions 569 to 1083 of the family's 1831-position model. The record is from RNAcentral. Lineage: Eukaryota; Fungi; Glomeromycota; Glomeromycetes; Entrophosporales; Entrophosporaceae.